UGUGAGCUUCUGCAAAUGAUGAGAGCC
RNAcentral lists this non-coding RNA (27 nucleotides) under Mus musculus (house mouse). The record is from RNAcentral. Lineage: Eukaryota; Metazoa; Chordata; Mammalia; Rodentia; Muridae.